RNAcentral lists this ribosomal RNA (253 nucleotides) under uncultured bacterium. RNAcentral describes it as "partial 16S ribosomal RNA". It matches the Rfam family "Bacterial small subunit ribosomal RNA", at positions 524 to 776 of the family's 1533-position model. The record is from RNAcentral.
UACGGAGGGUGCGAGCGUUGUUCGGAAUCACUGGGCGUAAAGCGCGCGUAGGCGGUCUGCUAAGUCUGAUGUGAAAGCCCGGGGCUCACCCCCGGAAGUGCAUUGGAAACUGACAGACUGGAGUCCCGGAGAGGAGGGUGGAAUUCCUGGUGUAGCGGUGAAAUGCGCAGAUAUCAGGAGGAACACCGGUGGCGAAGGCGGUUCUCUGGGCCUUUCCUGACGCUGAGGAGCGAAAGCGUGGGGAGCGAACAGG